This 563-nucleotide ribosomal RNA is filed under the name Filobasidium floriforme. RNAcentral's name for it is "eukaryotic LSU rRNA". It matches the Rfam family "Eukaryotic large subunit ribosomal RNA", at positions 104 to 654 of the family's 3401-position model. Lineage: Eukaryota; Fungi; Basidiomycota; Tremellomycetes; Filobasidiales; Filobasidiaceae. The record is from RNAcentral.
GAGCUCAAAUUUGAAAUCUGGUGGCCUCAGGUCAUCCGAGUUGUAAUCUAUAGAAGUGUUUUCCGUGCUGGCUCAUGUACAAGUCCCUUGGAACAGGGCGUCAUAGAGGGUGAGAAUCCCGUCCUUGACAUGAACUACCAGUGCUCUGUGAUACAUUUUCAACGAGUCGAGUUGUUUGGGAAUGCAGCUCAAAAUGGGUGGUAAAUUCCAUCUAAAGCUAAAUAUUGGCGAGAGACCGAUAGCGAACAAGUACCGUGAGGGAAAGAUGAAAAGCACUUUGGAAAGAGAGUUAAACAGUAUGUGAAAUUGUUGAAAGGGAAACGAUUGAAGUCAGUCGUGCUCUUUGGAUUCAGCCGGUUCUGCCGGUGUACUUCCUUUGAGUGGGGUCAACAUCAGUUUUGAUCGCUGGAUAAAGGCUGGAGGAACGUAGUACCCUCGGGUAAACUUAUAGCCUCCUGUCACAUACAGUGGUUGGGACUGAGGAACGCAGCACGCCUUUAUGGCCGGGAUUCGUCCACGUACGUGCUUAGGAUGUUGACAUAAUGGCUUUAAACGACCCGUCU